GUGUCUGUCAUUGUAACUGGUGAUAUUCUUACAACCUCUAACUGUAUGUUUAUGAUCUGAAAAGGAACCAGCUUGCUGAGUGGAGGAGUUGAAUCUGUUCUAGUUCAGUGGCACAGUGGAUCAGACUGCAAGAAGGAUUUUCUUCCUCGCUUGGGAUCUGCUAUUGAAUACGUCUCCAUCUCACCUGAUGGCGCUUUCUAUUGCACCUCUCAUGCAGACAACAGAAUUACAAUAAUAAACAGCAACCUGAGAUUUUCCGAAACCAUUCCAGGGCUAGUUAAAGCCAGGGAUAUCAAGACAGGUCUAGUGGUUGAUCCUAGAACCAAAGCUUUGGUCUUGAA
Molecule: long non-coding RNA, 341 nt
Organism: Lagopus leucura (white-tailed ptarmigan)
Lineage: Eukaryota; Metazoa; Chordata; Aves; Galliformes; Phasianidae
Exons: 3
Source: RefSeq, a predicted model, not a curated record